CGCUUUUUGUUUUUGGCGAAUGCUUAGAAGCUUCAAGUUGCGGACACUGCGGUGGGCCAGGGCUUGAUGACAUUUGUUGCCCAGCUGCUGGUGCUACCGCGACGUACUUGGAGCAACGCUUCUGCUUAUUUCCUCUGCCUGCACCUUAUAUUUGUUGUGUUUAUCGAGACCUGGCCUGUCUCUGCCUCGUUGAAGACAAAUGGACACAAGUA
This 212-nucleotide long non-coding RNA is filed under the name Dermacentor andersoni. RNAcentral describes it as "uncharacterized LOC126518590". Lineage: Eukaryota; Metazoa; Arthropoda; Arachnida; Ixodida; Ixodidae. The record is from RNAcentral.